Molecule: ribosomal RNA, 900 nt
Filed under: uncultured archaeon
Lineage: Archaea
Description: bacterial SSU rRNA
Rfam family: Archaeal small subunit ribosomal RNA
Source: RNAcentral
GUGUCAGCCGCCGCGGUAAAACCAGCACCUCAAGUGGUCAGGAGGAUUAUUGGGCCUAAAGCAUCCGUAGCCGGCUAUGUUAGUUUUCGGUUAAAUCCAUGUGCUCAACACAUGGGCCGUCGAGAAUACUGCAUAGCUAGGGAGUGGGAGAGGUAGACGGUACUCGGUAGGAAGGGGUAAAAUCCUUUGAUCUAUUGAUGACCACCAGUGGCGAAGGCGGUCUACCAGAACACGUCCGACGGUGAGGGAUGAAAGCUGGGGGAGCAAACCGGAUUAGAUACCCGGGUAGUCCCAGCUGUAAACUAUGCAAACUCAGUGAUGCAUUGGCUUGUGGCCAGUGCAGUGCCGCAGAGAAGUCGUUAAGUUUGCCGCCUGGGAAGUACGUACGCAAGUAUGAAACUUAAAGGAAUUGGCGGGGGAGCACCACAAGGGGUGAAGCCUGCGGUUCAAUUGGAGUCAACGCCAGAAAUCUUACCCGGAGAGACAGCAGAAUGAAGGUCAAGCUGAAGACUUUACCAGACAAGCUGAGAAGUGGUGCAUGGCCGUCGCCAGCUCGUGCCGUGAGAUGUCCUGUUAAGUCAGGUAACGAGCGAGAUCCCUGCCUCUAGUUGCCACCAUUACUCUCAGGAGUAGUGGGGCGAAUUAGCGGGACUGCCGCAGUUAAUGCGGAGGAAGGAAGGGGCCACGGCAGGUCAGUAUGCCCUGAAACUCUGGGGCCACACGCGGGCUGCAAUGGUAGUGACAGUGAGUUCCGAAUCCGAGAGGAGGAGGUAAUCUUCAAACGCUACCACAGUUAUGAUUGAGGGCUGCAACUCGCCCUCAUGAAUAUGGAAUCCCUAGUAACCGCGUGUCAUUACCGCGCGGUGAAUACGUCCCUGCUCCUUGUACACACCGCCCGUC